CUCGGCGAUACAUCUUGUGAUGUUUUAGUAUUGCAAUAUCAAAUGGUAACAACACUGAUUUUUCUUCUCUCAGUUAUUCGGAGAAACCAGAAGAAGAGCAGGAUAAUCUGGAGGAUGAACAGGCACUUCUGGAGGCCAGAGAAAAGAUGUGGGACAUCACUAGCAAAAACCAAAUUGAAAGCAUUGAGAAGAAAAAAGAAGAGCUGAUGGCUUUGGAGGCACAUGCCAAGCUGGAGCAGUGUAAGGCCCAGCUUGAGGAGAAAAUGAGAGACAUAGCAAAGAUUCAGGAGAGCGAGAAAGCGCUGACUGCUGCGUUCAAGGCUUCGCUGGGAGAAAAUGAGUUUGAAAACUUUCUGAUCAAAGUCUUUAAGAAGAAAAUCAAACGUGUGAAAAAGACGGAGAUGGCAGGAGAUGAUGAGGAAGAAG
RNAcentral lists this long non-coding RNA (426 nucleotides) under Gouania willdenowi (blunt-snouted clingfish). RNAcentral describes it as "lncRNA (ENSGWIG00000018018.1)". The record is from RNAcentral. Lineage: Eukaryota; Metazoa; Chordata; Actinopteri; Blenniiformes; Gobiesocidae.